AUUGAACGCUGGCGGCAUGCUUUACACAUGCAAGUCGAACGGCAGCACGGGGGCAACCCUGGUGGCGAGUGGCGAACGGGUGAGUAAUAUAUCGGAACGUACCCGGAAAUGGGGGAUAACGUAGCGAAAGUUACGCUAAUACCGCAUAUGCCCUAAGGGGAAAGCGGGGAUUCGCAGAACCUCGCGUUUUCGGAGCGGCCGAUAUCGGAUUAGCUAGUAGGUGAGGUAAAGGCUCACCUAGGCGACGAUCCGUAGCUGGUCUGAGAGGACGACCAGCCACACUGGAACUGAGACACGGUCCAGACUCCUACGGAGGCAGCAGUGGGGAAUUUUGGACAAUGGCGCAAGCCUGAUCCAGCCAUGCCGCGUGAGUGAAGAAGGCC
This 383-nucleotide ribosomal RNA is filed under the name uncultured bacterium. RNAcentral's name for it is "bacterial SSU rRNA". It matches the Rfam family "Bacterial small subunit ribosomal RNA", at positions 30 to 416 of the family's 1533-position model. The record is from RNAcentral.